AGUGGCGGACGGGUGAGGAAUACAUCGGAAUCUACUUUUUCGUGGGGGAUAACGUAGGGAAACUUACGCUAAUACCGCAUACGAUUGAAUGAGCCGAUGCCCGAUUAGCUAGUUGGCGGGGUAAGAGCCCACCAAGGCGACGAUCGGUAGCUGGUCUGAGAGGAUGAUCAGCCACACUGGAACUGAGACACGGUCCAGACUCCUACGGGAGGCAGCAGUGGGGAAUAUUGGACAAUGGGCGCAAGCCUGAUCCAGCCAUACCGCGUGGGUGAAGAAGGCCUUCGGGUUGUAAAGCCCUUUUGUUGGGAAAGCGGUACCCAAAGAAUAAGCACCGGCUAACUUCGUGCCAGCAGCCGCGGUAAUACGAAGGGUGCAAGCGUUACUCGGAAUUACUGGGCGUAAAGCGUGCGUAGGUGGUUGUUUAAGUCUGUCGUGAAAGCCCUGGGCUCAACCUGGGAAUUGCGAUGGAAACUGGGCGACUAGAGUGUGGCAGAGGAUAGUGGAAUUCCUGGUGUAGCAGUGAAAUGCGUA
Molecule: ribosomal RNA, 531 nt
Filed under: uncultured bacterium
Lineage: Bacteria
Description: bacterial SSU rRNA
Rfam family: Bacterial small subunit ribosomal RNA
Source: RNAcentral